ACAUACACAUUUGUAAAAGAUCAUUUUGGUGUCACUUGGCGCGGUUGGUAAGUUAGCUUUUAUUCUUGCUCCUGUGUUCCUAUAUUUAAGUUGCAAUUGCGUUACGUUUAACCUUACUUGGUGUUACUAACAUGCUAUAUUUAUAUUUAAUAAAAAACAAAUCAUUAUCUUAAAAGACAAACGUCCAUACCCUUAAACAAGUAACACAUGCUUACACGUUACAUUCUUUUCAUCUUAAGUUGCUAAAACAUGUUGUAAUUGUGGUCAGGUUUACAUGCAAGUAAGGUUACAUAUAUGACUAAUAUUUGAAAUAUUGAACCAUCUUAUUGAUUUUUUCAUGAAAGCAGAACUUGAUUCAUAUAGAAAAACAAGAGAUUAUUGGGUAUGCCAUCCAUUGCACAAACUCAGGAAAUGCACAACAAACAAACAAAAGCAAAAUACACUGCUCCUUCUCUAUUCUCAAAGUCAAGGUCAAUGCAUGGUUUUAUUUGUUUUCAAUGUGUCGUUGAAUUUGUUAACACUUAAUGCUCUUCAACUUUGUAAUUAUUUGGCUGUAUAACUAUUUUGAUCUGAGAGUCACUAAUGAGUCUUAUGUAGACGAAACGCGCGUCUGGCGUACUAAAAUAUAAUCCUGGUACCUUUGAAAACUAUUUCCAAAAACGAAUACAUAAUCUGUUAAUAUUUUUUAGCUAAGUCACGUGCUUAUUUUGUAGAGGCGCUGACGUUGCAAACAAGGGAACAUGGAAAUGGAACGAGAGCAAAGAAGUGUUGGACUUUUCUGACUGGGGCAAUAAUCAACCCGGAUGGCCAACAUGCCGAAAAUUAUUUAGCUCUUGGAGGACACGAUGGCUUUAAAUGGCAUGAUUACCCUUGUCAUAAUCAACACGAAUUCAUUUGUACUGGUGAAAAUACAUUUUAACAUAAAAAA
RNAcentral lists this long non-coding RNA (928 nucleotides) under Mytilus galloprovincialis (Mediterranean mussel). Lineage: Eukaryota; Metazoa; Mollusca; Bivalvia; Mytilida; Mytilidae. The record is from RNAcentral.